GAUCCUGGCUCAGGAUGAACGCUAGCGACAGGCUUAACACAUGCAAGUCGAGGGGCAGCAUGAUAAGUAGCAAUACUUAUUGAUGGCGACCGGCGCACGGGUGAGUAACGCGUAUGCAACUUACCUAUCAGAGGGGGGAUAGCCCGGCGAAAGUCGGAUUAAUACUCCAUAAAACAAGGGGUUCCGGCAUGGGACUAUUUGUUUAAAGAAUUCAUCGCUGAUAGAUAGGCAUGCGUU
RNAcentral lists this ribosomal RNA (237 nucleotides) under uncultured bacterium. RNAcentral describes it as "partial 16S ribosomal RNA". It matches the Rfam family "Bacterial small subunit ribosomal RNA", at positions 15 to 237 of the family's 1533-position model. The record is from RNAcentral.